This 253-nucleotide ribosomal RNA is filed under the name uncultured bacterium. RNAcentral describes it as "partial 16S ribosomal RNA". It matches the Rfam family "Bacterial small subunit ribosomal RNA", at positions 524 to 776 of the family's 1533-position model. The record is from RNAcentral.
UACGAAGGGUGCAAGCGUUACUCGGAAUUACUGGGCGUAAAGCGUGCGUAGGUGGUUUGUUAAGUCUGAUGUGAAAGCCCUGGGCUCAACCUGGGAACGGCAUUGGAAACUGGCUUACUAGAGUGCGGUAGAGGGGUGUGGAAUUCCCGGUGUAGCAGUGAAAUGCGUAGAUAUCGGGAGGAACAUCUGUGGCGAAGGCGGCAUCCUGGACCGGCAUUGACGCUGAGGCGCGAAAGCUAGGGGAGCAAACGGG